This 454-nucleotide ribosomal RNA is filed under the name Dolichogenidea sp. 1 SY-2018. Its description in RNAcentral is "partial 28S ribosomal RNA". Lineage: Eukaryota; Metazoa; Arthropoda; Insecta; Hymenoptera; Braconidae. RNAcentral also lists the same sequence under 1 other name. The record is from RNAcentral.
AAGAGUACGUGAAACCCUCCAGGGGUAAACCUGUGAAACCCAAAAGAUCGAAUGAGGAGAUUCAUCGUCAGCGUAUUCAGUAUUAAUGCAGGCUAUGAUGUGAUAAUAGAAUCCUUGUGGUCACUAGAUUAUACUUGCUUGUAUUAUUUUUGCUGGGUAUGUCGGCGUGCACUUCUCCUCUAGUAGAACGUCGCAACCCGUUGGAUGUUUAUCUAUGGCCUGAGUGGUAGCCUUUGAUAUUAUUAUUAUAUUGAAGACCUUUGGUGUCCUGAUAAACUGUCUGACGGUAUUCAUAUGGUAUUGAGCCGCAAUUUUUUGCGUUAGACUUAUCACAAGUAUGGCUUUUUAUUAGCAGUGGGGAUCUAAUGCCGUCGAUGAAGAAAAGCCUGCUGUUAGCUAAUUACUGUUUUUAACUGGUUUAUUUACUGGUAAGCGAUCCUCCUGUUUUGGGUAC